This 418-nucleotide ribosomal RNA is filed under the name uncultured bacterium. RNAcentral's name for it is "bacterial SSU rRNA". It matches the Rfam family "Bacterial small subunit ribosomal RNA", at positions 355 to 787 of the family's 1533-position model. The record is from RNAcentral.
UGGGGAAUAUUGGGCAAUGGGCGCAAGCCUGACCCAGCAAUGCCGCGUGAAGGAAGAAGGCCCUCGGGUUGUAAACUUCUUUUAUCAGGGACGAAGGAUGUGACGGUACCCAAGGAGGAAGCCACGGCUAACUACGUGCCAGCAGCCGCGGUAAAACGUAGGUGGCAAGCGUUGUCCGGAAUUACUGGGUGUAAAGGGAGCGCAGGCGGAGCGGCAAGUUGGAGGUGAAACCCAUGGGCUCAACCCAUGAACUGCCUUCAAAACUGUCGGUCUUGAGUGGUGUAGAGGUAAGCGGAAUUCCCGGUGUAGCGGUGGAAUGCGUAGAUAUCGGGAGGAACACCAGUGGCGAAGGCGGCUUACUGGGCACUAACUGACGCUGAGGCUCGAAAGCAUGGGUAGCAAACAGGAUUAGAUACCC